RNAcentral lists this ribosomal RNA (173 nucleotides) under Gillisella vitis. Its description in RNAcentral is "Agrobacterium vitis partial 16S ribosomal RNA". It matches the Rfam family "Bacterial small subunit ribosomal RNA", at positions 1 to 187 of the family's 1533-position model. Lineage: Bacteria; Pseudomonadati; Pseudomonadota; Alphaproteobacteria; Hyphomicrobiales; Rhizobiaceae. The record is from RNAcentral.
CAACUUGAGAGUUUGAUCCUGGCUCAGAACGAACGCUGGCGGCAGGCUUAACACAUGCAAGUCGAGCGCCUCGCAAGAGGAGCGGCAGACGGGUGAGUAACGCGUGGGAAUCUACCGUACCCUACGGAAUAGCUCUGGGAAACUGGAAGUAAUACCGUAUACGCCCCCCUUUA